RNAcentral lists this ribosomal RNA (465 nucleotides) under Vreelandella stevensii. RNAcentral's name for it is "partial 16S ribosomal RNA". It matches the Rfam family "Bacterial small subunit ribosomal RNA", at positions 338 to 795 of the family's 1533-position model. Lineage: Bacteria; Pseudomonadati; Pseudomonadota; Gammaproteobacteria; Oceanospirillales; Halomonadaceae. The record is from RNAcentral.
CCUACGGGGUGCUGCAGUGGGGAAUAUUGGACAAUGGGCGAAAGCCUGAUCCAGCCAUGCCGCGUGUGUGAAGAAGGCCUUCGGGUUGUAAAGCACUUUCAGUGGGGAAGAAAGCCUUGGGGCUAAUACCCUCGAGGAAGGACAUCACCCACAGAAGAAGCACCGGCUAACUCCGUGCCAGCAGCCGCGGUAAUACGGAGGGUGCGAGCGUUAAUCGGAAUUACUGGGCGUAAAGCGCGCGUAGGCGGUCUGAUAAGCCGGUUGUGAAAGCCCCGGGCUCAACCUGGGAACGGCAUCCGGAACUGUCAGGCUAGAGUGCAGGAGAGGAAGGUAGAAUUCCCGGUGUAGCGGUGAAAUGCGUAGAGAUCGGGAGGAAUACCAGUGGCGAAGGCGGCCUUCUGGACUGACACUGACGCUGAGGUGCGAAAGCGUGUGUAGCAAACAGGAUUAGAUACCCGUGUAGUC